CUGCUGCCUCCCGUAGGAGUCUGGGCCGUGUCUCAGUCCCAGUGGUGGGGGGCCUUCCUCUCAGAACCCCUACGCAUCGUCGCCACGGUGGGCCGUCACCCCGCCGUCUAGCUAAUGCGCCGCAUGCCCCAUCCCGGCCACCGGAUCGCUCCCUUUGGCCACCGGAGGAUGCCCUCCGGUGGCGUCACGGGGUAUUAGGCCGCGUUUCCGCGGGUUAUCCCCCUGUGGCGGCCGAGGUUGCAUACGUGUUACUCACCCGUGCGCCGGUCGCCGGCGGG
Molecule: ribosomal RNA, 278 nt
Filed under: uncultured bacterium
Lineage: Bacteria
Description: partial 16S ribosomal RNA
Source: RNAcentral